GGGGAUAUAGCUCAGUUGGUAGAGUACUUGCCUUGCAUGCACAAGGCCCUGGGUUCAAUUCCCAGAACCACA
Molecule: transfer RNA, 72 nt
Filed under: Ictidomys tridecemlineatus (thirteen-lined ground squirrel)
Lineage: Eukaryota; Metazoa; Chordata; Mammalia; Rodentia; Sciuridae
Description: Spermophilus tridecemlineatus (thirteen-lined ground squirrel) tRNA
Rfam family: tRNA
About the family: Transfer RNA (tRNA) molecules are approximately 80 nucleotides in length. Their secondary structure includes four short double-helical elements and three loops (D, anti-codon, and T loops). Further hydrogen bonds mediate the characteristic L-shaped molecular structure. tRNAs have two regions of fundamental functional importance: the anti-codon, which is responsible for specific mRNA codon recognition, and the 3' end, to which the tRNAs corresponding amino acid is attached (by aminoacyl-tRNA synthetases). tRNAs cope with the degeneracy of the genetic code in two manners: having more than one tRNA (with a specific anti-codon) for a particular amino acid; and 'wobble' base-pairing, i.e. permitting non-standard base-pairing at the 3rd anti-codon position.
Source: Rfam by way of RNAcentral